AUCAACUCGACUCUCAGUUCGCUCAACAAUGUCGUUUCGUCAACACUUUCGAAAAGUAUCUUUCAUCGCUAUAUUAGUUAUCUUAUUUUCAGAGAUGCAAUUGGAUCCUCUAUAUGAGAUCUGUUGGCAUUGGUAACCAGUAAGAGGCAGACGACAGCAGAGAAUCAAGAAUACCGGUCGGACGAACAUAGAAGCGGGUGAGAGUGGGACAAAGAUAAAAAAAGAAAGAGCAACAGCGAGAGGGAAAGGGAGGGAAAAGAGGAAGACGGAGAAUAGUAACGCAGAAUGCCCGGACAACGCUCCCGUGGAGCUGGGGCCAACUAACGGUCCACACCACCACCAUCGGGACCAUCGACUUCGAUGGUCCUCAUCCUUCUCCUUCUUCUCUUCCAUUCGUCUUCCAUUUAUUCGUUUUUCUUUCCUCUUUUGCUUCUUUGAUGUUUCCACAAUAUGCAUUUUAAAAUGCGAUAGUAUUCAUCACAUUACAGUUUAAAAUUUUCUCCUAAAACUGAUUGAUUAAAUAAAAAAAACAUUAACAUAUAAAUAUUCGUUUAUAGCAAAUUAAACAUUUGUAGAUAUUAUUUAAAUAGAUAUAUAAAAUAUUAUAAUAUAUAAUAAACAUAUAUUUAUUUAUAUGUAUAUAAUUUUUUUUAUAGAUUUAUUAGUUAUAUUAUAAAGCAAUAUUUAUUAACAAAUAGUAUUGAAAUAAUAACAAUAUUAUUAUAACAAAUAUUAUAAUAAAAUUAAUAUAAGAAGUGAACAAAAUUAUUUUUAAAGAUAGACACUUUUAUUUAUAAAAAUUAUAUGGUAUGAAGAUGUUCAUAAUAUAUAUACAUAUAAGAACA
Apis cerana (Asiatic honeybee) is the source of this 845-nucleotide long non-coding RNA. RefSeq lists it as uncharacterized. Lineage: Eukaryota; Metazoa; Arthropoda; Insecta; Hymenoptera; Apidae. The record is from RefSeq and is a predicted model, not a curated record.